This 730-nucleotide long non-coding RNA is filed under the name Homo sapiens (human). RNAcentral's name for it is "HSALNT0302283". The record is from RNAcentral. Lineage: Eukaryota; Metazoa; Chordata; Mammalia; Primates; Hominidae.
CGCGGCUGCCAUUUUGGAGUCUGGCAGCUGCGACGGGCGCCGUGUCCGGCCGGGGAAAGGGAGGAGCCAGUCAGUCUUAGGGAGAAGGAGAGGAAAGUGCUGAAUGGAGGGCGUGAGUGCCGAGUAGGAAAAUGUGAAUGAGUCUCUCCAGCGCCCUUCAGCAUGGAGCCACCCAGUUAGCAAGUUCCAAGAUCCACGGGAAACCGGGCACCUCCUGCAAUUCAAGUAUUCCUAUCCCCGCCCCCAGCUGCCACAAAAAUGACUCACAAAUCGGAGGGAGGGGUGUCGGUCUCCGUCGUUUUGUCUGCAUUUUAUAUGGAAGGGCCCCCUCCCUGGAAAUGGCUGAAAGGGUGGAGGAAGAGAAGCAUAGUUCACGCCUGCAAGGGCUCUUCCCGCUGGCUUUUUUUUUUUUUUUUUUUUUGGUAGACAGUGUCUUCCUGUGUUGCCCAAGCUAAUCUCGAACUCCUGGGUUCCAGGGAUCCUCCUACCCCGGCCUCCCCUCCCAAAGUGCUGGGGUUACAGGCGUGAACCACCAUGCCCGGCCCCACUAGUGUUUUAGAAACCUUGUCGUCGUUCACAAACGUACCGGUCACUUCUUAAGUGUUAGACAUAACCUUGAUCAUGUUCCAGCGCCUCAACUUAAUAAACCAAAAAGCUCUCCUGUGAGACUGUCUAGCUCUCAUCCUUUAUUUCAAUUCAUCCCUCAAGUACUGGCUAAGUUAUUCUCCCA